AGUGAACGCUGGCGGUAGGCCUAACACAUGCAAGUCGAACGGCAGCACAGUAAGAGCUUGCCCUUACGGGUGGCGAGUGGCGGACGGGUGAGGAAUACAUCGGAAUCUACUUUUUCGUGGGGGAUAACGUAGGGAAACUUACGCUAAUACCGCAUACGACCUACGGGUGAAAGCAGGGGAUCUUCGGACCUUGCGCGAUUGAAUGAGCCGAUGUCGGAUUAGCUAGUUGGCGGGGUAAAGGCCCACCAAGGCGACGAUCCGUAGCUGGUCUGAGAGGAUGAUCAGCCACACUGGAACUGAGACACGGUCCAGACUCCUACGGGAGGCAGCAGUGGGGAAUAUUGGACAAUGGGCGCAAGCCUGAUCCAGCCAUACCGCGUGGGUGAAGAAGGCCUUCGGGUUGUAAAGCCCUUUUGUUGGGAAAGAAAAGCAGCAGGUUAAUACCCCGCUGUUCUGACGGUACCCAAAGAAUAAGCACCGGCUAACUUCG
This 490-nucleotide ribosomal RNA is filed under the name uncultured bacterium. Its description in RNAcentral is "partial 16S ribosomal RNA". It matches the Rfam family "Bacterial small subunit ribosomal RNA", at positions 29 to 505 of the family's 1533-position model. The record is from RNAcentral.